Molecule: transfer RNA, 62 nt
Filed under: Sclerotia substriata
Lineage: Eukaryota; Metazoa; Arthropoda; Insecta; Coleoptera; Lampyridae
Description: tRNA-Cys
Source: RNAcentral
AGUUUUGUAAUCAAAAAUGAUUUUAAAUUGCAAAUUUAAAGUGAUUAAUCAAUCCAAAACUU